AACGAACGCUGGCGGCAUGCCUAACACAUGCAAGUCGAACGAGACCUUCGGGUCUAGUGGCGCACGGGUGCGUAACGCGUGGGAACCUGCCCUUAGGUUCGGAAUAACUCCCCGAAAGGUGUGCUAAUACCGGAUAAUCUCUUCGGACCAAAGAUUUAUCGCCUUUGGAUGGGCCCGCGUUGGAUUAGCUAGUUGGUAGGGUAAAAGCCUACCAAGGCGACGAUCCAUAGCUGGUCUGAGAGGAUGAUCAGCCACACUGGGACUGAGACACGGCCCAGACUCCUACGGGAGGCAGCAGUGGGGAAUGUUGGACAAUGGGCGAAAGCCUGAUGCAGCAAUGCCGCGUGAAUGAUGAAGGCCUUAGGGUUGUAAAGCUCUUUUACCCGGGAUGAUAAUGACAGUACCGGGAGAAUAAGCUCCGGCUAACUCCGUG
RNAcentral lists this ribosomal RNA (433 nucleotides) under uncultured bacterium. RNAcentral describes it as "partial 16S ribosomal RNA". It matches the Rfam family "Bacterial small subunit ribosomal RNA", at positions 29 to 507 of the family's 1533-position model. The record is from RNAcentral.